UCCAGUUGAUCCUGCUGGAGGGUACUGCUAUCGGAGUUCGACUAAGCCAUGCAAGUCUAACCCUAGGACUUCCUGGGGUGGCAGACUGCUGAGUAACACGUAGUCAAUCUACCCUAUAGACGGGGAUAACCUCGAGAAAUUGAGGACAAUACCCGAUAUUCCUCUUAUGCUGGAAUGCUUAGAGGUUUAAAUGGGCGGUGAAUUGGAGCCGUUCCGCUGUAGGACGAGACUGCGGGGGAUUAUGGUUGUUGGUAGGGUAAUGGCUUACCAAGCCGAUAAUCUCUAGGGGCCAUGAGAGUGGUGGCCCCCAGAAGGACACUGAGACAAGGGUCCUAGCCCUACGGGGUGCAGCAGGCGCGAAACCUCUACAAUGCUGGAAACAGUGAUAGGGGGACUCCGAGUGGCGUCGGCUAAGCUGGCGUCUUUUGCCAAGUGUAAAUAGCUUGGAGAAUAAGGGUGUGGGCAAGACUGGUGGCAGCCGCCGCGGUAACACCAGCGCCUCAAGUGGUACCCACGAAUACUGGGCCUAGAGCGUUCGUAGCCGGCCAAAUAAGUCUUCUGUGAGAUAGUAUGGCUUAACCAUACUGCGCGCAGGAGAUACUGUUUGACUUGGGAACGGGGGAGGACAGGAGUACGCCCGGGGUAGGGGUAAAAUCCUUUGAGCCUGGGCGGACUACCAGUGGCGAAGGCGCCUGACCAAAACGUGUCCGACGGUGAGGAACGAAAGCUGGGGGAGCGAACGGGAUUAGAUACCCCGGUAGUCCCAGCCUAAAUGAUGCAGACUGUGGUGUUGCUUCAGAGUUAAUCUGCAGCAGUGCUGUAGCGUAGGUGUUAAGUCUGCCGCCUGGGGAGUACGGCCGCAAGGUUGAAACUUAAAGGAAUUGGCGGGGGAGCACCACAAGGGGUGGAUGCUACGGUUUAAUUGGAUACAACGCCGUGAACUUCACCAAGGGCGACGGCAGAAUGAAGGUCAGACUAAAGAUCUUACCUAACAAGCCGAGAGGUGUUGCAUGGCCAUCGUCAGCUCGUGGCGUGAGUUGUCAGGUUAAGUCCUGCAACGAGCGAGACCCAUACCAUUAAUUGCUACUUUUACCUUUAGUAAGAGGCACCUUAAUGGGACUGCCCGCGUUAAGUGGGAGGAAGGAGUGGGCGACGGUAGGUCAGUAUGGCCCGAAUCCCUUGGGCUACACGCGGCAUACAAUGGCUGGAACAAUGGGUUGCUACUCCGAAAGGAGACGCUAAUCCCCUAAAUCCAGUCUUAGUUCGGAUUGAGGGUUGAAACUCACCCUCAUGAAGCUGGAAUCCCUAGUAAUCGCGUGUCAUCAUCGCGCGGUGAAUACGUCCCCGCUCCUUGCACACACCGCCCGUCAAGUCACCCAAAUGUGGUGUAGGUGAGGCUCCGGUUUCUGCCGGAUCCGAACCUAUGUUGCGUGAGGGGGGCUAAGUCGUAACAAGGUA
Molecule: ribosomal RNA, 1458 nt
Filed under: metagenome
Description: bacterial SSU rRNA
Rfam family: Archaeal small subunit ribosomal RNA
Source: RNAcentral